Molecule: long non-coding RNA, 1942 nt
Organism: Homo sapiens (human)
Lineage: Eukaryota; Metazoa; Chordata; Mammalia; Primates; Hominidae
Source: Ensembl
AUCCAAGGGGAUAUUUUACUUUGGAUUAGAAACUUAUUGUAUCUACAUGCACGUAAAAAUUUUCCAAGUCUAUAGUAUAUAAAUAUAAAUAUUGUUUCUUAUAUUGUUUAGUUCCAGGCCACGGACAACACAAGGUGCUUGGUGAGCUCUAAAUGGUACCUGCUUUCUGCUGGUAAACAUAAAAUGAAUUUGUGAUGGAAAGAAUUCACCCGUGAAGGCUGCCCGUCUCUGGGAAGAAGGAAGACAGAUUGUUUGUGAUAAGAAUUGCAUCAUCCACAUUGGAACAUCCUGUGUGUGAAGUGAGGGCUCUGAAGCGGGAUGGCCCUCCGCCUACACCGAAAAGAGAACAGACCACAGCCUUACUUACAGCCAGAGGGCUGCCCAGAGAAUUUUGAGGUUCCAGGGGACAAGUAUAUCUCACAGCUGGAAAGAGGAAAGGAUGAAGACAAAAUUUGAACACAAGACUUAAAACAACUAAAUUAUCUCUAAGUAUUCUUAAGUAAUUUGAGUUAUAUUUGUCCUUCCCAAAACAACAAGACUCUAAGCCACCCAAGGGCAAGGGCUGAAGGGUAUCAUCUAUUUAUUCUGAAUCACCUUGAACAUCUUGACAUGGACUCUAUAUGAAACAUCUGUCGAAAAGGCAUUGAUGACUACAUCAAAGGAGAUAGAAAAUCACAGCUCCUUGAAAAUUGUUAUCAUUUUCUUUCAGAAGUGAUCAUUAUCAUUUUUGAGGAUGAAAAUGUAGGGAUUGGUGUCAUAUCUUUUUUAUUCCAGUGGGAACUGUCAAAAGUGUUUUGUUUUUGAUGCUUCUUUCUGAAUGAUUGAGAAAUGCUAAUCAUUUCAAAAAACAGAACAAAGACCAAGGCAUAUAAAGCCUUGAUAGAUUUUAUUUUAUUUUUUUUGAAAAUUCUUAUUUCUGAUGGAAAGGGAAUGAAGGAAAGGAAUAAGGCAAAUCAUGUUUCUCUGUAUGACACUGACAGCAUUAAUGCUGCCAGUUCUUCAUCCUACAGAAAGAAGGUUGUGUGGAUAUUAAUGCUCUCUCUGGAGAUGGGAAUAUGCCUCAUGUUGCUUAAGAUCAAUAUUUACCUUCGCAGACACUGAAGACAGAAUGGACUCUUUAAAAUUGACAUCAAAGUUCCAUUAACAUGUGCUUUCACAAAGAAAUGUCCUACUUUCUAGGCAGCAUUGCAAGUGCAUGGUAUUUCAUAUGUCUAUUGUUUUAGGCACUGAAAGGCCGGAAGAAAAAGGCUUGCUCUUCCAUUGCGCCUCUGCAUUUCAGGGAGCAGAUUCUGUAGAGUGCUCCAAAAUGAUAAUGAAGUCAAUGAUGAAGCAACGGGGACUUUAAGUAGUUAACGUCCCUCUGUAAGUGCCAAAAUCACUGUAUCAGGGAUUUGUCCACACAAGGAAUUCAGCUUUUUAUUUCUUACAAAUAAUGUGCUGCCAUGAAGAGAAACACAAAUACUCAUUCUGAAAUACUCUAUAGCAAAAUCUGCAAAGCUUAACAUCUGCAAAUUUUCUCCUUAACAUCUAUUUUUCAUAUGCUCCAUUGCUCCUUUUUAUUUUUGAAUAAUAAAAAAAUGCAAAAGAAAAUAACAGCAAAUUAAGCAGAGAUCCAGAAUUGGCAUGCAAAAUACCUGGUGUUUUCAACCAACAUUUAUCUUCACCCCAUUGUGGAGAGCUCAAUAAAUGCUAUUUGAAUAUGUUAUCAAUCAUCUAACAUAUUAGCGUGGAGAGAUGAUGCCAAACUGCUUUCACCUUUAAAAUACCUAAUUCUGGAAAGGACACGUGACUGUACAUAAAACAACCUCAUUUUCCCCCAUUAAUUAGACCUGGGCAGAUCAUUUAAUGGCAGGAAAUUAUGAUGGAGUUCAUUUUAUCAUUUAGCAGUUCAAUUAUACAGCAAUUCACAUAUAUAGGCAUAUAUGUGUUACUAUAUAUGCAU